UACGUAGGGUGCAGGCGUUAAUCGGAAUUACUGGGCGUAAAGCGUGCGCAGGCGGUUUGUUAAGACAGAUGUGAAAUCCCCGAGCUUAACUUGGGAAUUGCGUUUGUAACUGGCAAGCUAAGUGUACAGAGGGGGGUAGAAUUCCACGUGUAGCAGUGAAAUGCGUAAUAUGUGGAGGAAUACCGAUGGCGAAGGCAGCCCCCUGGGUUAACACUGACGCUCAUGCACGAAAGCGUGGGGAGCAAACAGGAUUAGAU
Molecule: ribosomal RNA, 257 nt
Filed under: uncultured Burkholderiales bacterium
Lineage: Bacteria; Pseudomonadati; Pseudomonadota; Betaproteobacteria; Burkholderiales
Description: partial 16S ribosomal RNA
Rfam family: Bacterial small subunit ribosomal RNA
Source: RNAcentral